GAUGAACGCUGGCGGCGUGCCUAAUACAUGCAAGUCGAGCGAACGGACGAGAAGCUUGCUUCUCUGAUGUUAGCGGCGGACGGGUGAGUAACACGUGGAUAACCUACCUAUAUGACUGGGAUAACUUCGGGAAACCGGAGCUAAUACCGGAUAAUAUUUUGAACCGCAUGGUUCAAAAGUGAAAGACGGUCUUGCUGUCACUUAUAGAUGGAUCGCGCUGCAUUAGCUAGUUGGUAAGGUAACGGCUUACCAAGGCAACGAUGCUUAGCCGGCCUGAGAGGGUGAUCGGCCACACUGGAACUGAGACACGGUCCAGACUCCUACGGGAGGCAGCAGUAGGGAAUCUUGCACAAUGGGCGAAAGCCUGACGGAGCAACGCCGCGUGGGUGAUGAAGGUCUUCGGAUCGUAAAGCUCUGUUAUUAGGGAAGAACAUAUGUGUAAGUAACUGUGCACGUCUUGACGGUACCUAAUCAGAAAGCCACGGCUAACUACGUG
RNAcentral lists this ribosomal RNA (496 nucleotides) under uncultured bacterium. Its description in RNAcentral is "partial 16S ribosomal RNA". It matches the Rfam family "Bacterial small subunit ribosomal RNA", at positions 28 to 507 of the family's 1533-position model. The record is from RNAcentral.